GACAGAGGGUGCAAACGUUGCUCGGAAUUACUGGGCGUAAAGCGCGUGUAGGCGGGCCUUCAAGUCGGACGUGAAAUCCCUGAGCUCAACUCAGGAACUGCAUCCGAAACUGAAGGCCUGGAGUGGUGGAGAGGGAAGCAGAAUUCCUGGUGUAGAGGUGAAAUUCGUAGAUAUCAGGAGGAACACCGGUGGCGAAGGCGGCUUCCUGGCCAUUCACUGACGCUGAGACGCGAAAGCGUGGGGAGCAAACAGG
Molecule: ribosomal RNA, 253 nt
Filed under: uncultured bacterium
Lineage: Bacteria
Description: partial 16S ribosomal RNA
Rfam family: Bacterial small subunit ribosomal RNA
Source: RNAcentral